RNAcentral lists this ribosomal RNA (253 nucleotides) under uncultured bacterium. Its description in RNAcentral is "partial 16S ribosomal RNA". It matches the Rfam family "Bacterial small subunit ribosomal RNA", at positions 524 to 776 of the family's 1533-position model. The record is from RNAcentral.
UACGGGGGGGGCAAGCGUUGUUCGGAAUUACUGGGUGUAAAGGGCUUGUAGGUGGCCAACUAAGUCAGACGUGAAAUCCCUCAGCUUAACUGGGGAACUGCGUCUGAUACUGGAUGGCUUGAGUUUGGGAGAGGGAUGCGGAAUUCCAGGUGUAGCGGUGAAAUGCGUAGAUAUCUGGAGGAGCACCGGUGGCGAAGGCGGCAUCCUGGACCAACACUGACACUGAGGAGCGAAAGCCAGGGGAGCAAACGGG